AUUCAAGCUGCUUACGAGCUUCUUAUAGAUGCAGACGAACGGAGAAAAUAUGAUAAAGACAAUCGAGUAAACCCCAUGAAGGCAUCCGAAGCAUGGGUGGAGUGGCUAAUGAAAAAGCGAAAAGCAUUUGACCAACGGGGUGAUAUGGCCAUUGCUGCAUGGGCUGAACAGCAGCAGCUAGAACUAAAUCUGAAGGCCCGCCGCCUUGCUCGUUCAAAGAUGGAUCCCGAAGAAGAAAGGCGAAUCAUUGCUAAAGAGAGAAAGGCUUCUGUGGAGAAUUUUAAUAAUACGUUAAAGCGACAUACACUUGUCUUAAGGAAAAGAGACAUAAUGCGGCGAAAAUCAGAGGAAGAAAAGAAAAGAGUCAUUAGCAGGCUUCUGGCUGCCGAAGGUCUGGAGCUUGCAGAGGAGGACGAUAAGAAUCUAUAGAAGAUGCCCCGCAUAUUGGUCCGCCUCCACGCACCUGGUGAAGAAUACAGCAUCUUGGAAAGCUACUUCAGGUUAAAACAAUGUAUUGUGCAAUACAAG
Molecule: unclassified non-coding RNA, 528 nt
Filed under: Hevea brasiliensis (rubber tree)
Lineage: Eukaryota; Viridiplantae; Streptophyta; Magnoliopsida; Malpighiales; Euphorbiaceae
Source: RNAcentral